UCUACGAAAGAGAGAUUAACUACCCCAUAGUAUCUUGAAGACACAUGUCUAUGAGAUUAAAGCUUCGGCACUUUGAGAUGGGCGUGCGGCUGAUUAGGUAGUUGGUAGGGUAACGGCCUACCAAGCCGACGAUCAGUAGCUGAUGUGAGAGCAUGAUCAGCCACACGGGCACUGAGACACGGGCCCGACUCCUACGGGAGGCGGCAGUGAGGAAUAUUGGUCAAUGGAGGAAACUCUGAACCAGCCAUGCCGCGUGGAGGACGAAGGUCCUCUGGAUUGUAAACUCCUUUUAUAAAAGAAGAAACCCCAUUUUUCUAAAUGGGUUGACGGUACUUUAUGAAUAAGCACCGGCUAACUCCGUG
This 362-nucleotide ribosomal RNA is filed under the name uncultured bacterium. RNAcentral's name for it is "bacterial SSU rRNA". It matches the Rfam family "Bacterial small subunit ribosomal RNA", at positions 148 to 507 of the family's 1533-position model. The record is from RNAcentral.